Molecule: long non-coding RNA, 727 nt
Filed under: Mytilus galloprovincialis (Mediterranean mussel)
Lineage: Eukaryota; Metazoa; Mollusca; Bivalvia; Mytilida; Mytilidae
Source: RNAcentral
AAACAUAUUCAACUUUAUUGUGAAAUUCAAAUAACAUAUGACCUCAAAACGAAGAUAUAAUAUACACUAAACGAAGAUAUAAUAUACACUAAUUUACAAUAAUUUAAUCAUUGCGUUUCCAUUUAAAAUAAUCUUUAUAAUACCAGGUCAAACUCCGUCUUGUAAAAUGUUCAUUUUUAUUGUUCAAUAUCAUUAAACAUUACCAAUUGUACGACCUAUGGGGUAAGAAUCGGGGUUUAUAGUACAACUUUUUAUUUAAAAACAAUUGUUAUAUAUAAUUCACCAAAAAUUAUCGUAAUAAGAAAUCAUAUAAAUAUCUUGUUCAUUUUUGAUAAUGAACAGAACACUACAAAAUACAAUAAGCUGUUUUCAACAGUAAUUAUUAAAAACCCUGUUUUAGUUUAAAUGCACUUGAAAUGAUAACUUGCAAGCUUCAACAAGCUAUACAUAUUUGAUCAGAACUGCGCAAUCGGCAUGUUACCAAUAACUAAAAACAAUAUAGACAUUUAAAUUGUUCUUAUGAAAUAAGUUAACUGCAGUACUGGUUCAGAUAUGGAUGCUGUUAUUUUCGUCAUACUUUUACUAAUUCAAGUAAUUGCUUUGGUAGACGGUAAGAACAUAAAUAUGUGUUUAUAUGUUUAGAAUAAACAAUUAUGUGAUAUAAUUUACAAUAAGUACUAUAUUGUGUCAUAGUUCUAAAACUUUCAUCGACAACUCAUAAUCAAAA